GCCUUCGUAGUGUAAUGGUCAACGCACUCGGCGUGUAUUUGAGAGGUCCGUGGUUCGAGUCUCGCCGAGGGCA
RNAcentral lists this transfer RNA (73 nucleotides) under Stegodyphus mimosarum. It matches the Rfam family "tRNA". From Rfam's summary of the family: Transfer RNA (tRNA) molecules are approximately 80 nucleotides in length. Lineage: Eukaryota; Metazoa; Arthropoda; Arachnida; Araneae; Eresidae. The record is from Rfam by way of RNAcentral.